This 371-nucleotide ribosomal RNA is filed under the name uncultured bacterium. RNAcentral describes it as "partial 16S ribosomal RNA". It matches the Rfam family "Bacterial small subunit ribosomal RNA", at positions 523 to 896 of the family's 1533-position model. The record is from RNAcentral.
AUACGGAGGAUCCGAGCGUUAUCCGGAUUUAUUGGGUUUAAAGGGAGCGUAGGUGGACAGUUAAGUCAGUUGUGAAAGUUUGCGGCUCAACCGUAAAAUUGCAGUUGAUACUGGCUGUCUUGAGUACAGUAGAGGUGGGCGGAAUUCGUGGUGUAGCGGUGAAAUGCUUAGAUAUCACGAAGAACUCCGAUUGCGAGGGCAGCUCACUGGACUGCAACUGACACUGAUGCUCGAAAGUGUGGGUAUCAAACAGGAUUAGAUACCCUGGUAGUCCACACAGUAAACGAUGAAUACUCGCUGUUUGCGAUAUACAGUAAGCGGCCAAGCGAAAGCAUUAAGUAUUCCACCUGGGGAGUACGCCGGCAACGGUG